GGGCCUUUGCGGCGGCCUAUCAUGCAGUCGAACGAACUCUGGUAUUGAUUGGUGCUUGCAUCAUGAUUUACAUUUGAGUGAGUGGCGAACUGGUGAGUAACACGUGGGAAACCUGCCCAGAAGCGGGGGAUAACACCUGGAAACAGAUGCUAAUACCGCAUAACAACUUGGACCGCAUGGUCCGAGUUUGAAAGAUGGCUUCGGCUAUCACUUUUGGAUGGUCCCGCGGCGUAUUAGCUAGAUGGUGGGGUAACGGCUCACCAUGGCAAUGAUACGUAGCCGACCUGAGAGGGUAAUCGGCCACAUUGGGACUGAGACACGGCCCAAACUCCUACGGGAGGCAGCAGUAGGGAAUCUUCCACAAUGGACGAAAGUCUGAUGGAGCAACGCCGCGUGAGUGAAGAAGGGUUUCGGCUCGUAAAACUCUGUUGUUAAAGAAGAACAUAUCUGAGAGUAACUGUUCAGGUAUUGACGGUAUUUAACCAGAAAGCCACGGCUAACUACGUGCCAGCAGCCGCGGUAAUACGUAGGUGGCAAGCGUUGUCCGGAUUUAUUGGGCGUAAAGCGAGCGCAGGCGGUUUUUUAAGUCUGAUGUGAAAGCCUUCGGCUCAACCGAAGAAGUGCAUCGGAAACUGGGAAACUUGAGUGCAGAAGAGGACAGUGGAACUCCAUGUGUAGCGGUGAAAUGCGUAGAUAUAUGGAAGAACACCAGUGGCGAAGGCGGCUGUCUGGUCUGUAACUGACGCUGAGGCUCGAAAGUAUGGGUAGCAAACAGGAUUAGAUACCCUGGUAGUCCAUACCGUAAACGAUGAAUGCUAAGUGUUGGAGGGUUUCCGCCCUUCAGUGCUGCAGCUAACGCAUUAAGCAUUCCGCCUGGGGAGUACGGGCCGCAAGGCUGAAACUCAAAGGGAAUUGACGGGGGCCGCACAAGCGGUGGAGCAUGUGGUUUAAUUCGAAGCUACGCGAAGAACCUUACCAGUCUUGACAUACUAUGCAAAUCUAAGAAGAUUAGACG
Molecule: ribosomal RNA, 1015 nt
Filed under: Lactiplantibacillus plantarum
Lineage: Bacteria; Bacillati; Bacillota; Bacilli; Lactobacillales; Lactobacillaceae
Description: bacterial SSU rRNA
Rfam family: Bacterial small subunit ribosomal RNA
Source: RNAcentral